UUUAGGCGGGAUCACCAAUUCCCAUCCUUUUUCCCCUUCUCUUUCCAUCUUCUCACAAUCAAAAUCCCUAAAUCUCAGCCGACAUCACAUUGGCGAUUUCUACUAUGGCGCUUUCAUGUGUAGAUAUCAUCCAAUUUCCCCUGAAUCCACGCCUCUCACCCUUUACUCUCAUCCCCUAAAACACAAACCCUAAAACUCUUCAUGUUCCAUCACAAUUCGCAAGCAAGCAGAUUUGUUUAUGUAUUGCGUGAUGAUGAUGAAGGUUGAUGAUUUGAUUUGUAUUCUGUUGCCUUGGCAAGUUGAAAUAGGUAUUCACAGGCAAGGAUUCCUAUCGUGAAGGGGGAACCAAUAGAAAGGCUUGGGAAAUUGAAUACAACUAUUAUAUAUUGGAUGUUUGAUGGCUUGACAAGUUCUUAUUUACAGCCACCACUACUACCGAUUAUCUGUAAUUUCCGAAAUGGCUUCGUAUGAUCUCCAAAUUAGGGUUUGGGGGCGUUGAUGCACAAAGAAGAUGUUACCAAGGCCAUGGAUUUCUGGGGACGAUCCUCUUGAAUCAUUUGACUGAUUCUAUAUGUGAAUUAUUUCUAUCCAACUUUUUAUUUAUGGUUUGUUAAAAAUCAUCAUGUUCUCCGCUGCAGAGCGCAAGUCCUCUCGGCUCUGGAAAUUCAGAAAAUAGCGACCAUUGGGAGGCUGGUAUGAGAAAAUGGAUGAAUAGGUUAUAACAGUUUAUAGUCUAAUAUGUAAAAAUGGCUAGAGAGAUGCAGCUUCUGAUCAAGUCUUUUCAGAGAGAAUCAUAUUUAUCAUAUGGUAAUGAACCGUUAAUCAAAGUCAAGAGAAAUAGGUAGGUGUCGAAGGAGUUGUUGCUUGCAACAUUGAGUAUCAUGUUGAUGAGCAUGGUUUGUUACUUCGUUUGGUAGGGCUUGCAGUAAUUAAGCAAUCGUUAGUAGUAACAAUCAUUAUAACGGCACCACUAGAUGCAAAGAGAAAAAAAUUGCUUCAUAUGUACCUCCAAGUCAUACAUUUUCAACGGACACAAGAUAUGCCUAGAAAGACACCAAAUGAACACCAAAUAAAAUGUUGUGGGACACAAGAAUAUGCCGCACAGUAGCAAAUGGUAAAGGGAGACCAGAGACCACACCAAUGGAUCAUGGCUUAGUAGAUUUUCUAGAGAUGCUGGGCAAUGCCCGUGUAUGCUUCAGAAAGUGGUGCCAACAUAAGGGUUAAACUCGUAUGGAUUAACGCUAGGUGUCCACGUCAACCAGGAGGUACUGAAUGCGGCUAUUAUGUGAUGAAGUUCAUGAAGGAGAUAGCUUACAAAGGAGUUGAAAUACUUGACAAUGAUAAUGUUGGGAAAUGAGUAGAGGAAUACUCGGCUGCGGAUAUGGAUGGCAUUCGUGAAGAUUGGUCAAAUUAUGUGGUUAACUCUAUUUUUAAGUUAUAAAUCGUAUUUUAGGUGUUGAUGAUGUAUUGACAAACAAUUCUUUUUUUGUUAACGUUAAAAUAUUUGUAGUAUACUUGACAAA
This is a long non-coding RNA of Helianthus annuus (common sunflower), 1523 nucleotides long. RefSeq lists it as uncharacterized. The record is from RefSeq and is a predicted model, not a curated record. The transcript is spliced from 11 exons. NCBI's taxonomy places the organism in Eukaryota, Viridiplantae, Streptophyta, Magnoliopsida, Asterales, Asteraceae.